Long non-coding RNA from Passer domesticus (house sparrow), 2326 nucleotides. RefSeq lists it as uncharacterized. The transcript is spliced from 7 exons. The record is from RefSeq and is a predicted model, not a curated record. Lineage: Eukaryota; Metazoa; Chordata; Aves; Passeriformes; Passeridae.
CCCAAUUACACCCUGAGGAGCAGCACCUCAGCAGGGCGGCCUCAUGUCCUGGAGGAGGAGGAGGAGGAUGGAGCUUGGAGAAGGCAGCUUGAGGGGAAUCUGGGAAUGUUUCCUUUAGAACAAGCCCCUGAAACUCCCUGUGCGGGUUCCCCUGGAAAAGGGGACCUGCAGGAGCACAAGGACAGCCAGGCAGCUGGAUUUCUGUGGAUCACACAGCUCCCCUCUUUAAGUAGAUGAAAAGGCCUAAUUGGUUUCCCUGGAAGAGAACAGAGCUCAACAACAAUUUGCUUUUCCCGUUUUAUUCAGGAGAACCCGAUCCAAACGUUACAAGAGCACUUUCAGUCCCUGUUUAUUCUCCUCAUAAACAAGCCCAGUGCUGCUGCUCUGUCAGGCUCACUCCAGUGACACCAUGGUAACACUGCUGUGACACUGCAAUAGAACUGAAAUGGCACCACAGUGUCACCACAGUGCCACCACAGUGCCACCACAGUGCCACCUCGUCCCUCCCCGCUGCUGAGCCCAGGAGUGUCACUCCCAGUGACGCUCAGCAAUAACGGGAUUUUCCUACACACAACAUUGUUUUAUUGCAGUGUUUAUUCUCCCCCUCUCCAUCCCCUCAGCACCGCUCUGGUGGGGGCUGCUUCUGACUGCUCCUGCUUCUGACUGCUCCUGGUUCUGCUCCCAGCUCCAGAUCCUGACAGCUCCAGGAGGCUGCUGCAGCCCCACAUCAAAAGCCAGCCCAGGAGCUGGGGAUGAGCUGGGGAAGGCCCAGCAGAGCAGGAACAAAGCCACCAGCCGUUGCUGUCCUCGGGGCUCCUCAGAACUCUGGAUGUUCAGCAUUUCUGAGUGCAGGAUUUUAAAGGAAUGUUGACACACACCAUGUUCUCCUUCAUCCACCACGAUGCUCUUUGAGGUGAAAAUCUGCCUGCUGGGACCUGUGGAACCUCCAGGGAAUGCAGAGGUUGUUGUGGAGCUGCACAGCUGUGAGUCUCUUACAGGAGCUCAUCCCACCUUUGUCUCUGGGCACAGCCUUACAGCAAGAAAAUGAUUCAUCUGUCACACAGGAGACCAGAAGAAAAUAGAGCUCAUCCCACCUUUGUCUCUGGGCACAUCCCUACAGGAGGAAAAUGAUUCAUCUACACGCAGGAGACCAGGAGAAAACAGGGGCUGUGCCAGUUCACAUUUUCAGCAGUGGGCUGAGGUCUGUGUCAGGGUGACACACGGUGCUGGCAGGCAGGUACAGAGCCCUUGGGCAUUCUCAACAUUACUCUCCUAAGGUGACAAAAACAUUGCUUGAUUUGGCAUAAAAAGCCUCUCAGAGUUGUGGGAGGUGAAGUGCUAUUCCCACAGGCAGGCUUUAAAAGCCCGAGGUACUUCCCCAUUGUCCACUUGCUUCCCCUGUAAAACACCAUUUAUUUAUUCUCAUUUCCAUUUAUUCCAAGUGCAGCUUCCCCAGCUCGUGGGUGGAGUUGUCAAGCUGCAUCCUCGAUGGGCACAGAUAAAUCACUUUUACUGCCCCUUCCCUGCUGCUGGCACUCACGCUGCCGUUGGAAUUCCAAACACAUUCCGUGAAAUUCUGUGCUGCUCUGCCAGCACGGAGCAGGGGGAGUUCCAGCUCCUGCUUCCCUUCACAACAAAUCCACCCUCAGCCGGCUCGGGCUGGAACAGAAACCCUGUCAUUAUCAAUAAUGCCCUUUCAGAUAAGCCCACAGGCACUUGUUUUCCUGUCUCACUGUAAGGCAGUUUUUGGGGGGAGCAGAUAAAGCAGGGCACAAAGGGAAGGGAUUCCUCAGAUGGGAUAAGUGAGAUAACUUCCUGGGCCUGAUGGUUUUCUAUUAUUUGUGACUCCCUGGGUGAUUUCUUGGCGUGUAAAAGGGAAUAAAAGCUGGCAUCAGUCAUCAGAGUGGAAGUGCAGUGGGGCAAGGCUUCUCUGCACUUCUGUACACCCAUACAUCCAGGACAGUGUGCAGACUUCAAGGUUCAUAUUUCCAGAGAGUAUCCUGCUGGAAAUGUGUGUCAAAAAGACAAAUCAGAGCUUCUACAGCCUCUGUCUAUUGCUAGAGCAAGCUGUCAGGUUGCAGGCAGACAAACCUGCUUUCCUUGCAUUCCUGGAGCUGCUCCUGUGAAACCUCCCAGCCCUGCAGCCUGCAGGUGACACGGGGAGGGAAAACAACCCAGGCAGGCAAUAACUGGGGAUUUUUACCUCCUCCCUGCUGGAAAAGAGUCUGGAGAGCCAGCCCUGAGUUUGUGCCCAGGGGCUGCCAAGGCUGGGGCUCCAGGACCUGGCAGGGAUCACCCCCAGGACCAUGGAAUGCUUUGGGUGGGA